GCUGGUGAAAUUAUACCCUAUUCCUGGCCCUACAGGAAAUUCAGUUACUGUUCUCUUUAAUCCUUUGUAUGGUUAUUUUCCCAAUCUCAGAUGGUUUUCUCACACUCAUGGUCUUGUUAAUACCCUAUGAAAACUGAGGGUGGGCCCUCUGAAGACCUCACAAAUUCUCUCUGCCCAUCUCUCUCCUCUGCUAUCCUCAGCCCUGUGAACUCUACUUGCCUUAUUCUCCUCUCAGUUGUGUCUCCUUGACUGGAGGAAUUUGAUGGUUUCCCCCUGGAUUUCCCCUCUGUGUGCCAUGGCCUGGAAAUUGUCUCAAGGGGUCAGAUCUCAGACUGUUCAUCAAUGGCCAGCAACCCUGGUGCAGCCUGUGGGCAGCCCGCUGUCUCUGGAGUGCACUGUGGAGGGAACAUCAAACCCCAACCUAUACUGGUACCGACAGGCUGCAGGCAGGGGCCUCCAGCUGCUCUUCUACUCCAUUGGUGUUGACCAGAUCAGCUCUGAGGUGCCCCAGAAUCUCUCAGCCUCCAGGCCCCAGGACAGGCAGUUCAUCCUGAGUUCUAAGAAGCUCCUCCUCAGUGACUCUGGCUUCUAUCUCUGUGCCUGGAGUGUCACACUGAGCUGGGUGGGGCAGACAUCUGUGCAAAAACUCCACCCUCUCCUGAGCCCUAACCAUUGUCCCCAGGAGCCCUCACCCAGGGACUGCAUGGAGGAUAUUUGUAACUAGGUUUCUGACUGCUGGCCAAUGUGAAAGCAAUGGAAUGAAGCUAGAAUUCUACAAAAGACUCUAGUAAGUUCUCAGGGAGAACAAAAAAUUGUAUGUAUGUAGAACCUGUGAUUUGCCUGCACAUAGUCAAGUUCUCCAUGUAUGGAUGUCCAGGCUUAGGCUACCAUACUCCAGCCCUCAAGGUGUGCUAUGCCUUGCCUGAUUUUCUCAUCUUCCAAAUUCCUCUGUGUGUGCCCUGGGGAGAGGGUUUGUGCCUAUAUGGCUGAGAGAAAUAGGAUAUACCUGUGGCACGAGGUGAGCUGGUGAACAAAUGGGAGGAUGCCAACUCAGGUUACUGAAUUGGUUAAUUUCAUCACCUGGAGAGUCUCCUGUCAUUGAUCUUUCUGCUGAGACUAGAAAUUCUGGGGAGGCUUAGACCUGAGGCUUUGACUAAGGCAAGGAGGUAAGAUGUUCAGGAGACUGUUCUCAUUUGAGGCAGAAGUGUAGUUUUGUUAGUAUAGGAAACAUGCGGUUAG
This is a non-coding RNA of Piliocolobus tephrosceles (Ugandan red Colobus), 1239 nucleotides long. Lineage: Eukaryota; Metazoa; Chordata; Mammalia; Primates; Cercopithecidae. The record is from the annotation of a RefSeq genome assembly.